CAGACGAACGCUGGCGGCGUGCUUAACACAUGCAAGUCGAACGAUGAAGCCCUUCGGGGUGGAUUAGUGGCGAACGGGUGAGUAACACGUGGGCAAUCUGCCCUUCACUCUGGGACAAGCCCUGGAAACGGGGUCUAAUACCGGAUAACACCGGCUUCUGCAUGGAAGCUGGUUGAAAGCUCCGGCGGUGAAGGAUGAGCCCGCGGCCUAUCAGCUUGUUGGUGGGGUAAUGGCCUACCAAGGCGACGACGGGUAGCCGGCCUGAGAGGGCGACCGGCCACACUGGGACUGAGACACGGCCCAGACUCCUACGGGAGGCAGCAGUGGGGAAUAUUGCACAAUGGGCGAAAGCCUGAUGCAGCGACGCCGCGUGAGGGAUGACGGCCUUCGGGUUGUAAACCUCUUUCAGCAGGGAAGAAGCGAAAGUGACGGUACCUGCAGAAGAAGCGCCGGCUAACUACGUGCCAGCAGCCGCGGUAAUACGUAGGGCGCAAGCGUUGUCCGGAAUUAUUGGGCGUAAAGAGCUCGUAGGCGGCUUGUCACGUCGGGUGUGAAAGCCCGGGGCUUAACCCCGGGUCUGCAUCCGAUACGGGCAGGCUAGAGUGUGGUAGGGGAGAUCGGAAUUCCUGGUGUAGCGGUGAAAUGCGCAGAUAUCAGGAGGAACACCGGUGGCGAAGGCGGAUCUCUGGGCCAUUACUGACGCUGAGGAGCGAAAGCGUGGGGAGCGAACAGGAUUAGAUACCCUGGUAGUCCACGCCGUAAACGUUGGGAACUAGGUGUUGGCGACAUUCCACGUCGUCGGUGCCGCAGCUAACGCAUUAAG
This 823-nucleotide ribosomal RNA is filed under the name Streptomyces sp. Is-BDOE1. RNAcentral's name for it is "bacterial SSU rRNA". It matches the Rfam family "Bacterial small subunit ribosomal RNA", at positions 26 to 864 of the family's 1533-position model. The record is from RNAcentral. Lineage: Bacteria; Bacillati; Actinomycetota; Actinomycetes; Kitasatosporales; Streptomycetaceae.